AUUUAAAUAGUUUAAGAUAAAAAAUAUUAGUUUGUGGAUCUAAAGAUAUAAAAGAAGUAAUUAUUUUAAAUU
This 72-nucleotide transfer RNA is filed under the name Provespa barthelemyi. RNAcentral's name for it is "tRNA-His". Lineage: Eukaryota; Metazoa; Arthropoda; Insecta; Hymenoptera; Vespidae. The record is from RNAcentral.